RNAcentral lists this long non-coding RNA (1521 nucleotides) under Homo sapiens (human). RNAcentral describes it as "HSALNT0363759". The record is from RNAcentral. Lineage: Eukaryota; Metazoa; Chordata; Mammalia; Primates; Hominidae.
CCGCCUGCCUUGGCCUCCCAAAGUGCCGGGAUUGCAGACGGAGUCUCGCUUACUCAGUGCUCAAUGUUGCCCAGGCUGGAGUGCAGUGGCGUGAUCUCGGCUUGCUACAACAUCCAUCUCCCAGCCGCCUGCCUUGGCCUCCCAAAGUGCCGAGAUUGCAGCCUCUGCCCUGCCGCCACCCAGUCUGGGAAGUGAGGAGCGUCUCUGCCUGGCUGCCCGUCUCUGGGAUGUGAGGAGACCCUCUGCCUGGCCGCCCAGUCUGGGAAGUGAGGAGCGCCUCUUCCUGGCCGCCAUCCCAUCUAGGAAGUGAGGAGCGUCUCUGGCCGGCUGCCCAUCGCCUGAGAUGUGAGGAGUGCCUCGGCCAGGCCGUGAACCUGUCUGGGAUCUGAGGAGUGUCUCUGCCUGACCGCCACCCCGUCUGGGAGAGACUGUUACAUUUAAAGAAUGCAUCAAAUAGCACAUACCCAGUGGCAGGAGAAAUCGAAGAUGAUUUGGAGGUUUCAAACCAGGGAGAUAUACGGCCACUCAGGAAAAGCAGGAAGAAAAUGUGGAGCUUGAGAUUUCAGCAGAGGCUGACCCAUCAAGUGGAAUCCUGUGGCCAAGAAGCAGCUCCGGCAGAAAGUCAGAGAGAGAGGAGAGUGAGGAUAAGAAAGAGGGAAGACAGCACUUGAAAGGAAAGAGGGUAAAGAAGAGGAAGGGAGGUUACAAUUGAGAGCACUGCAGAAGGAAGCGAUGCAGAUGUUGCCGCCCGGCUCUGGCAGUCCGAAGGAGCAACCCCACGCAUAGGUGUUUCAGAUUCAGGAUAAACAAGAUAGACAAGCCUUGUUCCUGCCCUUAAGAAGCCCAGGACGAGGAAUACAGACAAAUAACACAUUAUUGAAAUGCCCUGAUAAGUGCUUUUCAUAGAUAAUACUAUGGAAUUACAGAGGAGGGGCACUUAAUCCAGACUGGGAGGGGCAUAAAAGGUAUCCUUGAAGAAAUCAUAGCUAAACUUGAGGAAUGCACUACUUCCCAUAACAAGAAGUUCUACAUUGGGACCACACCACUCCAGGAUUGAUUCAUUCAAUGGCUCAUAAAUCUGCCAUCCUCAGGACCCAGUGAUGUCCAAGGACUGAAAAGGAUUGUGUGUCUCUACUUAUUAGCUUGAGAAACCUUGCCAGAGGUCCUUGGACGCUUUCUACCUAUUUGCCCAAAUUAGAUAUAUCCCUGGCAAGGUGAAUGAGUGCCUUAGAUCAGUCCCAAUUCCCUUCUGUAGGCCUGAAGCUAGAGAGACUUAGCAGGAAGAUGGAACUUACCCAAAAGUAGAGCUCUGCCAGCAUGGGAAAAAGGAAAAGUGCCUGCAACAGGAAAAACAACAAAGAGAGAGAGGUGGAGAGGAACACGCCAAAGAAAGAGAGAGAGCCCACACUAUCCUAAGCUCCUGAAUGCACUGUGACAUCCAGGUGUCCUGGGGAAGACAUAAACACAUCAUACAGCACCCACAGGAACUUCAAGAGACUGGAGUUAAUAAAGAGAUUAAAG